Molecule: ribosomal RNA, 274 nt
Filed under: uncultured bacterium
Lineage: Bacteria
Description: partial 16S ribosomal RNA
Rfam family: Bacterial small subunit ribosomal RNA
Source: RNAcentral
CUACAGAGGGUGCGAGCGUUAAUCGGAGUUACUGGGCGUAAAGGGCGCGUAGGCGGAUGAUUAAGUCAGUUGUGAAAUCCCAGGGCUUAACCUUGGAACUGCAAUUGAUACUGAUUGACUAGAGUCGAAGAGAGGGAAGCGGAAUUUCCGGUGUAGCGGUGAAAUGCGUAGAUAUCGGAAGGAACACCCGUGGCGAAGGCGGCUUCCUGGCUUCAGACUGACGCUGAGGUGCGAAAGCGUGGGGAGCGAACAGGAUUAGAAACCCCAGUAGUCC